Molecule: transfer RNA, 87 nt
Filed under: Herbinix luporum
Lineage: Bacteria; Bacillati; Bacillota; Clostridia; Lachnospirales; Lachnospiraceae
Rfam family: tRNA
About the family: Transfer RNA (tRNA) molecules are approximately 80 nucleotides in length.
Source: Rfam by way of RNAcentral
GCCGGCGUGGCGGAACAGGCAGACGCACAGGACUUAAAAUCCUGCGGGACUCAACCUCCCGUACCGGUUCGAUUCCGGUCGCCGGCA